UGGGGAAUAUUGGACAAUGGGCGAAAGCCUGAUCCAGCCAUGCCGCGUGUGUGAAGAAGGCCUUAUGGUUGUAAAGCACUUUAAGCGAGGAGGAGGGUACUGGUAUUAAUACUACCAGGUACUGGACGUUACUCGCAGAAUAAGCACCGGCUAACUCUGUGCCAGCAGCCGCGGUAAUACAGAGGGUGCAAGCGUUAAUCGGAAUUACUGGGCGUAAAGCGCGCGUAGGUGGUUCGUUAAGUUGAAUGUGAAAGCCCCGGGCUCAACCUGGGAACUGCAUCCAAAACUGGCGAGCUAGAGUAGGGCAGAGGGUGGUGGAAUUUCCUGUGUAGCGGUGAAAUGCGUAGAUAUAGGAAGGAACGCCAGUGGCGAAGGCGACCACCUGGGCUCAUACUGACACUGAGGUGCGAAAGCGUGGGGAGCAAACAGG
RNAcentral lists this ribosomal RNA (430 nucleotides) under Pseudomonadota bacterium. RNAcentral describes it as "Proteobacteria bacterium partial 16S ribosomal RNA". It matches the Rfam family "Bacterial small subunit ribosomal RNA", at positions 355 to 776 of the family's 1533-position model. Lineage: Bacteria; Pseudomonadati; Pseudomonadota. The record is from RNAcentral.